This 394-nucleotide ribosomal RNA is filed under the name uncultured bacterium. RNAcentral's name for it is "partial 16S ribosomal RNA". It matches the Rfam family "Bacterial small subunit ribosomal RNA", at positions 523 to 918 of the family's 1533-position model. The record is from RNAcentral.
AUACGUAGGGGGCUAGCGUUAUCCGGAUUUACUGGGCGUAAAGGGUGCGUAGGUGGUUUUUUAAGUCAGGAGUGAAAGGCUACGGCUCAACCGUAGUAAGCUCUUGAAACUGGAAAACUUGAGUGCAGGAGAGGAAAGUGGAAUUCCUAGUGUAGCGGUGAAAUGCGUAGAUAUUAGGAGGAACACCAGUAGCGAAGGCGGCUUUCUGGACUGUAACUGACACUGAGGCACGAAAGCGUGGGGAGCAAACAGGAUUAGAUACCCUGGUAGUCCACGCCGUAAACGAUGAGUACUAGGUGUCGGGGGUUACCCCCCUCGGUGCCGCAGCUAACGCAUUAAGUACUCCGCCUGGGGAGUACGCUCGCAAGAGUGAAACUCAAAUGAAUUGGCGGGG